This 66-nucleotide non-coding RNA is filed under the name unclassified sequences. RNAcentral describes it as "S15-Flavobacteria ribosomal protein leader". It matches the Rfam family "S15-Flavobacteria ribosomal protein leader". The record is from RNAcentral.
UACUUUUGCACGGUCUUAUAAUAGAUAUGAGGCAUACAUAAAAAUCAUUAAACAAAUAUUGGAAUG